AAACGUAGGACACAAGCGUUAUCCGGAUUUAUUGGGCGUAAAGAGCGUUGAGGCGGCUCUGUAAGUUGGACGUGAAAGCCCCUGGCUCAACUGGGGGAGGUCGUUCAAUACUGCAGGGCUCGAGGGCAGCAGAGGGAGGUGGAAUUCCCGGUGUAGCGGUGAAAUGCGGAGAUAUCGGGAGGAACACCAGUGGCGAAGGCGGCCUCCUGGGCUGUUCCUGACGCUGAAGGCGAAAGCUAGGGGAGCGAACAGGAUUAGAAACCCCAGUAGUCC
Molecule: ribosomal RNA, 273 nt
Filed under: uncultured bacterium
Lineage: Bacteria
Description: partial 16S ribosomal RNA
Rfam family: Bacterial small subunit ribosomal RNA
Source: RNAcentral